GUGCUUUUCCCACGUAACCACAGAGCAAUGGGAAUUAGUUUGAAGGAGUUGUUUUGUUCCUAUCAAUAUGGAUGCAGUGGCCAGAAUGCCCAACACAUAGACCAUGCCCAGGCACUUGCUCCUAACCCAAAACCUUACUUGCUCUGCAUGUGGGGAAAUGUGAGGUUCACCCUCAGCUGCUUCUGUAUGAUACCCUACGUUGCCCCACAAAGUGUUCUUAAUCUGAGUGAAACAUUUUGCAGCCAUGUAAGGUUUUUCAAGGUAACCUGCCUUACUAGUGCAUGAAAAAUUCUUCUUUACUGUUUCAUGGAAGCCAGUGUAUUUUCAGACAUGACCACAUACAUUUGUAUUAAAUCAAAUUUGCUGAGUGUGUCUGUAUGUGGGCUAACAAAAAUGAAUGCUCUAGCUGUAGGCACUGCAGGGACCUGUUAGACUAAAUUUCAUUCCUAAAUCUUUCUGUAUUUAAAAAUUAAUUUCGUUACUUGCACUCUGCCAAUUAAUUCUUAUUUUAUUUAUUUACUUAUUUUCUCAAUAUCUUCCAAACGAAACAUUAAGUGACCCAUUUUAAUGAAGGAGUUUAUUCUUAGUUUUAAGUGUCAUGUGAAAGUCCCUCAAGUGGUGUCGUGGGUUUCUGUGGCUGGUUUUUUUUUCUCAGCGUGGGGGCUACAUGGGGUGAUUUCUGUUAGAAGCUGCUAGAAGUUCCCCCCUUGUGGAGCCAAUGACAGUUGGCUACAGGAGGGACUUCCUGAUGUUUGGCCAAGGGAGAGCCAAUUGUUGCACCUCUGUCAUAACAACUUUAAGAAAAAAAGUUGCACAGAAGAAACUGGAGCCAGAAGGGUUGCAGAGGGAAGCCGCCAGGCCUGGGGCUGGGCCCCGCAGCCCCAGCCUGGGGCAGGCACAACAGGUGCUGUGGUCGGGCUGGGGCGGUCCCCCGCUGCCUCCCCGGCUGUGGUGGGGGUAGCAGCCAUGGCCCGGGGCGCGGCAGCUGGCCAGAGGCAGGCACAGCGCUGGAGCUGAGUCAGGCCAGCCCCGCCGGCAGGCACUGCCCUCCUCACCCCCCCUCAUCCUGACCGAGCCCGGACGGUCCAGGGGCAGCCCCACCGUAUUGCAGCUGAGUCCAUGAUGGAACAAGUGGAUGCAUGAAAAUGAAGGAGGACUGCUACCCUCGUGGGAGGUUCAGGAGAGAGUGGGGUCCUUCGGAAGAUCUGUGGCCUGUGGAGAGGGCAGCCCAUGCUGGAGCAAUUUUUUCCAGCUCUUAGCGAUUUUCUUGGAUGCCUAGAUUCCAGCCAAGGUCAACCCGCAACAAGUGGAAAUUAUUACUCAGAAAGCUAAUGGAAGUGAUCAAACAUACAAGCUUUGGCAAGGAUAGGCCCUCAGACUGCUGUGGAAGUCUUCUGUGGAAAAAGUUAGUGAGUGCAGGGAACUGGAGCAGAGGAAGUGACAGGCGGAGCUGAAAGUCCGUGCACCCGUCCGCACAUGUCCACGCUGCAGCUGGAGUCACCAGGAUGGAGGGAGGUUCAAGGUCGCUACUGACAUUCAGCUGUCAUGGCUUCAUUGUGUGCAUGCCUCCCCUUCUUUGACAUGUUCAAGAGUACUUUUUCGACACCACAAAGAGCUAGUCAACUGAUACCAUUGCACUCACCCCAGACCUAAAUCUUCUACUGAUAAAAUCAGCGAGACCUACACCACUGGUGGUUGAAGAAGUACAACAAAGACAUAUUUCUUGGAUAAAAUACAUCAAGCAAAGGUUCUUCUUGUGAAGAGGCUGGAUUUAAAGGCUGGUUGAUGCAUCAUUUGUUUGAACAGAUUGACUUGCCUCCUCACAAUGCAACUCAUUUGCACUCCUGUACAUCUUAAAUAAGGAGUAAACAUCAUAAUGUAUCACAAAUUCUUCACAUGAGGUCACUCAUGAAUAAAGGAAGUGUUUAACUGUGGCAAUAUUACAAAAAUAAUGUUGCCUUCUGUGAAUGAAUGACAGGGAAAAUUUCUGUAUCCAAUAGUUAAGUACAGUUCUGGUGGUCUGACACACUGGUAGAAGUCAUAUCAGAAGUCAAGUAUUCUAAUUUCCUCUCCAUUUUUUGACCAAAAAGUCUACAUCUCACCUUAAAUGUAGUACUGAUUAUUUUAAUUUUUGUUAUAGCCUGUUAAGUACACCAAAUCAUACUUAUGCAUUCUUGGAGGAAGGUUAAUUAAUUAACAGUAGUAAAAAUCAACCUUCUGAAACUCAAACUGCAAUUAGUCCAGGUUAUAACAUAUUUUGCAGCUAUAAUAAAUGUAUUUUUUGUUCAAAAGGAGACAUUUUAAUUACAUUAUCUGAUUCUUUAGAUAAAUGGAAAUAAUUUUAAGACAUAAAAGGCUUGCUGGAAUAAUUUAAUUUUACCUUUCAAAAACACAGAGCCAAACCAAGCAGUUUACAAAGGAGAAAUUUUGAUAAUGUUUUGUUCUUGCAGAUUAAAAAAGAAAAAAAAGAAAGAAACUGGGAGGUGAAGGAAGAGGGAGGGAAGAGACGAAGGGGGUCUCUUCCCCCUUCAGGGGAGAGAAGAGAUGAAGGAGCAACUUGCUAUUCUAAAUACUCUCUGGUGUAACUUUUAAUCUAGAAUGAGAAUUAGUUGAUGAAUUUACCUAGUAAUUAGCAAAAUAUAUAAUCAAGACAAUAGAUUCUUAUUUAUUGUGAAACCUAAGAAUCCAAGAGCGUAUCUUAACAGUGUAUAGUCAAGUAGUGUGCAACUGACUUGCUUUGUCUUAACAUUUUUAGAAGUACCUAAUAAGGGAAAAUAAGAAAGCUUGUGCUAAUAGCUAAGUUGAUGUAAAAAUAAAGUAAUAUUUAUCCUCUAGAAGUAACAAUUAAAUUAAGUGGCCUAUGAUGUUCUUAGCAAUGAACACAACCAGCUCAGCCUGGUAAGAACAGGCAGCUUGCAGUACCUCAACACAGGCUCAAAAUGAACUUAUUUUUAACAGUUGCAAAAAUUGCCAUUUGUAAAUGGGUUUUAGUUCUUUUCAGUAUUCCUGUAGCAGACAACUGUGCUGGCAUCUUGAAGGUUUUGGGGUUGUUUAUUGUUGGCUUGUUGCUGAUGGUUAGCAGAAGAGACACUUUCAGGUUCUGUAUGAGGAACCUCAGGCUCUCUUUUAGGCAGUUAAGCCUAACAGAAUUAAGCCUGACAUGUUUCAACUCUACUACUUCGUAGAAUAAACAUAUAACAAUGGUUUAGAUUUCUAGUAAAACUCUUGAACCAUGUGAGACUCAAACUUUCCCAGUUCCUUUACACAUCUGUAAAUAAAGACCAUAAAAGAAGAACACAACAGGAUAAAUCAACACGAAUUUGAAAUCCACUGCAGCAUAUUAAAUUGUGAGGUCUCUCUGAGAAAAAGGGCAACCCGGCAGCUUCUUGCAGUUUGAAGCUAAUUGUUUUCGUCAGGAUGGGAAUGUCUGGAAGUCCACAGCAGUGUCCCACCAGCAAGGCUUCAGUAACUGAGCUGGCUUGUGGAGAAUGAGCCCACUUUGUAGCAACACAGCAGGCUCAGACACCACCUAUUCUGCUCUCCAAACUGUCAUGCAUAACAACUUCAUUGUGCUAAAUUGAACUUGAAAGCAACCAAAGGCUAUGAGAAGGAGAGGCUAUGAGAAAAGCAUGCUGUCAGCACAGGCAAAAGCUGACCUGGAAAGUAAGCUCAGAGACAGGAGAAUAAAAGACCAGGGCCCAUGAACACAGCAUAUUGUUUCAUUUUAAAGUAUGAUUACCAUACUAGCAAAAGUACCAAAUGUGAUGUAAAUUUAUUUAAAUAGAUUCCACAGCUUAAAAGUUUGCCAGCCGCUCUUAUCCAACUUUCCCAGCUCUCUGAUUCAUUACUUACAGUGGGAAUAUAAUGAUAUAUAGUCAUCAUUGUAACAGCUUCUUUGCAGAGACACAAUGAUGAUUAAUAGCUAGCAGCAAAUUUUCACAUGGGCUCUGAAGCACUGUAGAGUUAAGCAGCCAAACACUCCCAAAUCCCCCUUUUCUGUUCCACUGAAAAGUAGUCUCCUUGUAUGUUGCAGAUAUGAACAAAGCCUAUCUUAAUUCCAAUCAGCUUUUUCUCGUUCAAGGAAACUUUCUUUUUUUCAUAAUUGAUCCAUGUGCAUUUUUCUUUAGUCUUUCACUGAGUCUGAGACUUUUCUUUUUGCUGGGUAGAGGGAGGAAAUAAUUUCAGUAAUAACUGGUUUUGCUUUGUUUUUCUCUCCAAAAUAUAUUUUGAGACAUUUCUCAGUUAGUUGAGAUAAUGCACAUUAAAAAGACACGCAGAAUUGAAAAGGAAGCCUUAACUUUCUCUUCAUUGAAAGCUUAUUAACCACAAGCACUGAGGGAUGAGUUCAGAGAAAGAGCUCUAGUUGCAUAAGUCAAAGACUGGAGAGCAACAACAAUAAGCUGUCUAAAUUUUUUUUGUAUCAGUUCCCAUUCCCGUGAGAAACUUACAGCUGAAACUGGAAUAAAUUCACUUUUCCUUGCAAAAUUAUUUCAAAGAUAAGACAACUUUAAAUAGAAGCAUUUUAUCAGAUUUAUUUAGAAAUACCUAGAAAUAGUUUAUUUUUAUUUAAAUGUUUAUCCACUGAUGUGAAUUUAUUGUUUUUUCCACAAAUAUCAUUUUCAUCUUGAGAGAGAAAAAAUAUUUUUAGGACUGUUCCAGUGUUCCUUUCAUCACUUCUAGUGUGAUACACCUACACUUGGAGGCAAUAAUAUUUGAUUUACACCAGAAUAAGCAUGGGGCAGAUUGGCAGGAUGCAAUUUUAAUUUUUAUUAGGAAAAACAGUUUUAAAGAGAAAGAAAAAAAUUGUACCAGUAUUAGAAAGCUGAAAUUUACAAAGAAGGUUAGUUCUGUUGCCCCUCUGGAGGAAAUUAAAAUUCUGUAUCUCUACCCAUGUAACAAAUAUGCUGUUAAUAUCAGACUUUGCACAUUAUUGAUGUUCCACUCCUGAACUGAUGAUUUGAUCUGUCCAAUCCAGGAAAGUAUUCCUUUCCCUCCAUUUGCAUGUUAGAUAUAAUGUAGACAAGAACUGACUUUAAAAGUAGCAUAUUGUUUUGGAAUAAGUAGUGUUUGCUAAAAUCCUUUCGUAUAGCAUGUGAGAUGGAGAAGUAAAUAUAUCCAUCUCCAAUUUGCUUUUACUUGCACUUUAAGAGAACAUUGUGGUCAAGUUGUCCAUAAAUUUGGUGAGUUUAUUGUCCAGAAGAAGUUAAAAUGUUCAUCUUAACUUUGCUCACAAUAUAUUAUUUUGAAAGAAUAAAAAUAUCUGUGAAUAUUUUCAAUUGUUUUUUAUUCACAGAAAUUUUUUAUUUGUUUUGUUUCAGGGAUGAAAGUUACUAGCCAGAUGAAUGGCGUGGCAGAUUUGGUUUAUGAUUUUCAUCAAAAUUUUCUUAAGAUUACUUAGGAAAUAACACUGCAUAUCAAAGUCUCUCAAGAGAUCAAAUUUCUACUCAAUUUCUUUAUGUUGCAGCCCUUUGCAGGCCUGUCAUGUUUGCUUCUUCUGUAUGUUUCACAGAUUUUUACCCUGGUGUAAGUUAGCAGAAUUUUGUAUGAUUUAAUACACAUGACCCAGAACUUGAUUCGGGCUCAUAGGAUUUUUGUCAAGUAUUAUUAAUGCUCAGGGAAGUAAAGGUUGUGUUACAAAGCUCGAAUUCUUCUGCUCUAUCAAUGUGUGAGAUUCUCUCCCCUUAACUAAAAGAUAUACUGCUUUGAAGAAAAACUUGCAUUGUUUUCUGCAAGCAAUUUCAGUGUAGUACUUUUGACAUUUGAUUGAAAUUUCUUGGCAUUUAAUUGAAAGAGUUAAAAAUAAUUUAAAUUCUAAUAGCUAUUAGUGAAUUGUAUUGAAUAACACUUGUUUUGCAGAUAUUUAAGAGGAACUAUCACUGGAAAUAUUCCCAGGUACCUGGAAAUCUAAAGCUGCAUAUGAAUAAGGGCAGACUGUUCACUAGUUUAUGGGUCCUAAGUUCCUCAGAUGAUGUCACAAACUGUCCUAGUGUCCCUGUGAGCAGUGUUUUGUCUUUGAAACUCUAAAUUUUCUGCAAAAAAUGUAAAAUCUUGUGUAGUCUGUACACUCCCCCUUGACUAAGUUAAUUUCUUCUCCCUUUCUACCUUCAGCUAUGGCAUAUUAAUAUAAUAAAUAAAUAAACCCACACGGACCCAGCUGGUUGGGGGUUCAGCAACCAAAUCCCUUUAUUCAAAUGAGACAACAAAUGCACCUCUGAGCAACACGUGACUCCCUUGACCAAUCACCAAGAGGUACUCCAGAGCCCACAUCUGCUGGAGUACAUUUGGACUUCACAUCCCAGGAUGCCCCUCUGGCAUCCUUCCUGAAACCCGAUUCCUAUGUUCAGCCUUAUUCAAUUUUUCUGCUUUGGCAAAAUUUUAAUACAGAUACGUUAUCUAGGUUGAUCACAAGGCUGACAGCGCACAGAGAAAGAAGCUGUGGGAGUUGUUCUCCCCAGGAACCUCUUCUCUCACAUGAUUCUCCUCUUUCCUCUAUGUUUUUUUCCUAAGAUUCAGAAGAAACCCCCCCUCAUUCUAGUUCCCUGGGCAGACACCUUGACUCUUUCAUUGCCUUUUUUGACACUCUUGGAAACUCUCUUCUUCUGAGCUCAAGGACAUCAGAGGUCCAUAUCUCAGUUCCUCUUUGGCUUUGGAGCAGAACUCCAGCUCAUUGUCUUUUAGAGUUUGAUGACAGCAUAUGCACUUGGCCAAUUUCAGCAGCCUUUAGUCAACUUUCAUAAGAUCAUAGUGUUAUGUAGCAGUGUCAUACUCUCUGUGCAUUGAAGAUCUCUGAACUGAUGUGCCUACUAAAGUGGUGUAAUUCUCCUUGUAAGGGCACACAUUUAUAAGAAAGAAGGAACUUUGUAUAGUUCAGUUCUUUCUAUCUUAAAUUAAAUUUUCUCAUUCCAGGUCUAUGCAAUUGCACAUUUCCAACUUAGUCUGUUUUAUUAUCCAGUUCCAGAUCACUACUUGUUUCCUCUGUGGGUUGUUAACCUUGUGAUGAACCUAGAUUACAUAUCGGAUUAAAAUUUUGCCAAAACUGGUGAACAAAUACAUAUAAUUGUCUUGGGAAACAGCACUGUGAAUGCAUUUUCAUUACAUUUUUUGCUUAGUUUCAGCUGCAACAGCCUCUGUUGAACCAAGAAGCCCAAAAGCUGCAAAGAAAACCUAUUUCAGUUCUGUCUAAUCAGAUAUCCAGAGUACAGCUUUUUUACUUCUAAAUCUCAGCUCUGAAAAUCAUGAAAGAUAAAAAAGUCUUGCUAAGGGUUACCCUAGGAUAAGCCCUCGUCUUCCAUUUUUCCAGUUUUUAUUUUUGCCCUGGUUUCUGCAUAUUCUUUAGGUUAUCAAGAAGACCAAUAAAUCAUAGGUAUCAUUAAGAUCAUAGACAUUGAUAUCCUGUGACAUCAUGUUUCUUGAAUUAUUCUUUUGGUCCCUGAAAAUUGCUGACAAUUUCUCUUUGUUGCUCUUAAGGGUGUGUAAGAAACCGAGAUUAUAUGACCCUGGGAGAAACCUAGAAGGGGAAUUUGGCAAGAUAAAAUGCAGAUGUGGCACAUGAUGUGCUCUCAGUGGAGAAGAUGCUGGGCAGCAGUCAUUGGAGAAGAUGCGUAGAGCUUCUGGAGGACUGUCUGAGCUGUUGGUGACAACUUCUCACACUCCUUUCCUGGACCAGACAGUUUGGUACAGAGCACUUCAACAUCUAAUCCCCUUGACUCUCUCUGGGAUGAACAUCUCUGGCAAGCUGUUAGCUCAAGAUAAAAUGAAGAAGAAAAGAAGGAAGACUUAAAAGACAUCCAAAUGCUAAUGGUCUGUCUAUCCCUGUCCUGGAGUAGGCUUUAUGCCUCCAACCCCUUUUCCUAAUUCAUUGAGUAGUGCUGGUUUACCACCAGCACUGUGGUUCUUUCAAAGCCAUCCUUUUGAAUGGCACUUCCUAUUUCAGCUUUUCUUCAAACAAAACAAUUGUGUCUGAUCUCCACAACUAGAGCAAGUGCAAAUUUAGAAUGAAAGAUGAGGCAACCUGGCACACCCUCAGUUACAAACUGUCUGUGGUUUCAAAUAGCUUUUGAUAUAACUUAGAUCAGCCUGAAAAUUAUCUCAAUUACCUCUAUCUGUCCCAUAGGAACCAGUGCACUGGGUUAAGAUGAGGGCAAUAAUUACAUAUUUUGCCCUGCCUUUCCUGUCUGGUCACGAUCCAUCCGUAGCCAAUCACUCCUAUGAACAAGAAAUGGCAAAUGGUGGUGUAGCACACAAAAGCACUGCAGCGAGAUUUGUGGACGUGACUCGUUGAGUAAUAUUGUUGCUCAGUAAUGACCACAUUGCCAUAAAUGCAAUUAACAAGAACAUGACCUCACACUUUCAGAAUCCCACCAGAACAAAGAUGCAUGUAUAACUUGGGUUUUCUGGAGGAGCCUCAGCUUUUUCACAUCAGUCAACUCUGGCAGGUACUGAGGACAGAAAGUACGUCUGUCAAAAAAUCAUAGGUCCAGUUCAGGAAUCACCUGGGAAUUAAGGCUUUUUCACACAAGGAAGAGGAGAAAGAACAGAAGAUGCUGGCCUGUCAGACAUCUUUCUCUUUGAGAAGGGAAAAGAAAAUUGUGAAAUGUA
Lepidothrix coronata (blue-crowned manakin) is the source of this 8598-nucleotide long non-coding RNA. RefSeq lists it as uncharacterized. Lineage: Eukaryota; Metazoa; Chordata; Aves; Passeriformes; Pipridae. The transcript is spliced from 5 exons. The record is from RefSeq and is a predicted model, not a curated record.